Molecule: ribosomal RNA, 363 nt
Filed under: uncultured bacterium
Lineage: Bacteria
Description: partial 16S ribosomal RNA
Rfam family: Bacterial small subunit ribosomal RNA
Source: RNAcentral
CCUACGGGAGGCAGCAGUGAGGAAUAUUGGUCAAUGGGCGGAAGCCUGAACCAGCCAAGUAGCGUGCGGGAUGAAGGCCCUACGGGUCGUAAACCGCUUUUGCACGGGGAUAACACCCUCCACUUGUGGAUGUCUGCAGGUACCGUGCGAAUAAGGGCCGGCUAACUCCGUGCCAGCAGCCGCGGUAAUACGGAAGGCCCGAGCGUUAUCCGGUUUCAUUGGGCUUAAAGGGAGCGUAGGCGGGCGUUCAAGUCAGCGGUAAAAUCGCGCGGCUCAACCGCGCCCCGCAGUUGAAACUGGACGCCUUGAGUGCACAACAGGCAGGCGGAAUUCGUGGUGUAGCGGUGAAAUGCAUAGAUAUCA